UGUUGAGGAAGAUAAUGACGGUACUCAACAAGGAAGUGACGGCUAACUACGUGCCAGCAGCCGCGGUAAAACGUAGGUCACAAGCGUUGUCCGGAAUUACUGGGUGUAAAGGGAGCGCAGGCGGGAGAACAAGUUGGAAGUGAAAUCCAUGGGCUCAACCCAUGAACUGCUUUCAAAACUGUUUUUCUUGAGUAGUGCAGAGGUAGGCGGAAUUCCCGGUGUAGCGGUGGAAUGCGUAGAUAUCGGGAGGAACACCAGUGGCGAAGGCGGCCUACUGGGCACCAACUGACGCUGAGGCUCGAAAGUGUGGGUAGCAAACAGGAUUAGAUACCCUGGUAGUCCACACCGUAAACGAUGAUUACUAGGUGUUGGAGGAUUGACCCCUUCAGUGCCGCAGUUAACACAAUAAGUAAUCCACCUGGGGAGUACGACCGCAAGGUUGAAACUCAAAGGAAUUGACGGGGGCCCGCACAAGCAGUGGAGUAUGUGGUUUAAUUCGACGCAACGCGAAGAACCUUACCAAGUCUUGACAUCCCUUGACGAUGCUGGAAACAGUAUUUCUCUUCGGAGCAAGGAGACAGGUGGUGCAUGGUUGUCGUCAGCUCGUGUCGUGAGAUGUUGGGUUAAGUCCCGCAACGAGCGCAACCCUUAUGGUCAGUUACUACGCAAGAGGACUCUGGCCAGACUGCG
Molecule: ribosomal RNA, 690 nt
Filed under: Faecalibacterium prausnitzii
Lineage: Bacteria; Bacillati; Bacillota; Clostridia; Eubacteriales; Oscillospiraceae
Description: bacterial SSU rRNA
Rfam family: Bacterial small subunit ribosomal RNA
Source: RNAcentral